Taeniopygia guttata (zebra finch) is the source of this 1023-nucleotide long non-coding RNA. RefSeq lists it as uncharacterized. The record is from RefSeq and is a predicted model, not a curated record. NCBI's taxonomy places the organism in Eukaryota, Metazoa, Chordata, Aves, Passeriformes, Estrildidae.
GAAAAGGGAAAAGGGAAAAGGGAAAAGGGAAAAGGGAAAAGGGAAAAGGGAAGAGGGAAAAGGGAAGAGGGAAAAGGGAAAAGGGAAAAGGGAAGGAAGCUCCCCCUGCCCCCGGGGCUCUGGGAGAAACUCCCACCCGCACCCCCGGCCCCAGGCAGGAGCCGGACCCGCUCCCGGGCAUCUUCCCCCGGCCCCGCAGCGCUGCGGCCCCCGGCCCAUGAUAAAGACGCUUUGAGAGUCCUCUCCCCCCUCCACCCCCGUCCCACCCCCUCAUUUUUUUUUUUUUUUUUUUUUAUUAUGGUUUUCUCACCGAGUCCAAUAAAUCGCGCGGCUCGUCUGGCCUCAGACGUGUUCAGCAACCCAAGCCCCGCCGCUUUUGUUCCGCCAAGUCUCACAUUGUUUGUCCGGCUGCGCGGGGCGCGGGAGCUGCGGGGGCUCCGCGGGGCGGGGGUGGGUGGGCGAUGCUCGGCACCCCGGGGCUCGCUUCUUUCUCCGGGCUUACCCCGACUUCUUCACCCACCUGGGGGCGGCCGGGGAUGCGCCCGGUGGGUCCUGCCUGCGCUGGCCUCCCUUCGCUGCCCUGCGUGCCAACCUGGCACGGCUCUGUGCCCUCUGUGCCCUGCCCUGCCCUGCCCGGCUCGCCGCGGCUCUCGGCGGUGUCCCCGAGCCCGGAGCCGCCGCCGGAGGAGCGGGGGCCGUGCCCGGCGUAAGGAUAUAUAGGAGCGGCCGCGGAGCCUCCACGUAGCCCAUACGUAAAGUCCGACGUUCCUGCAAACCUCCCUUGAGUCUGGAAACGCGGACAACGCUGUGUGGAAAGGAAAUUGAAAAAUUUGAAAUUCCCUUUCUGUUCCCACUCUCUUGGCAAAUUCGCAGCCACCGACGCCCAGCGAGAGGAACCGUUUUCCUGCAGAAAUCCUCACUACAGACCCGAGACCCUCUGGCAUCUCUUCCCCAUCCUCCAGCGAGGACGGCGGCUUCGCCCACCAGAUUAAAAAAAAAAAAAAUAAAAUAAAAGUAAAAGUG